UUGACUGACUGAGUGCCAGCCGCCGCGGGUGGUGCAGAUGAUUGGGGUGAAGUCGUAACAAGGUAACUCUCAGUCAGUCAAGUCGUAACAAGGUAACCUCAGUCAGUCAAGUCGUAACAAGGUAGCCUUAGUCAGUCAGUCAAGUCGUAACAAGGUAGCCUCAGUCAGUCAAGUCGUAACAAGGUAACCUCAGUCAGUCAAGUCGUAACAAGGUAGCCUCAGUUCGCGGAGAGGCGUUGUGAUGGACCUCUUCCGUUCUUGUUAUACUCGUGCUGGCGUCGUGCGCGAGCGGUUCCUAUAAGCGGAUACGGUAUCACAGAUAUGAUACGAGAAAAACUUUACAAGCAUAAGCAUACCGAAA
RNAcentral lists this ribosomal RNA (361 nucleotides) under uncultured organism. RNAcentral's name for it is "partial 16S ribosomal RNA". The record is from RNAcentral.